RNAcentral lists this ribosomal RNA (292 nucleotides) under uncultured bacterium. Its description in RNAcentral is "partial 16S ribosomal RNA". It matches the Rfam family "Bacterial small subunit ribosomal RNA", at positions 505 to 796 of the family's 1533-position model. The record is from RNAcentral.
GUGCCAGCAGCCGCGGUAACACGGGGGGAGCAAGCGUUGUUCGGAAUCACUGGGCGUAAAGGGCGUGUAGGCGGUCAGGUAAGUGGGACGUGAAAUGCCUCGGCUCACCCGAGGAGCGGCGUCCCAUACUGCUUGGCUUGAGUACGGGAGAGGAUGUGGGAAUUCCUGGUGUAGCGGUGAAAUGCGUAGAUAUCAGGAGGAACACCGGUGGCGAAGGCGCACAUCUGGCCCGAUACUGACGCUGAGGCGCGAAAGCUAGGGGAGCAAACGGGAUUAGAAACCCCCGUAGUCC